This 496-nucleotide ribosomal RNA is filed under the name uncultured bacterium. RNAcentral describes it as "partial 16S ribosomal RNA". It matches the Rfam family "Bacterial small subunit ribosomal RNA", at positions 28 to 507 of the family's 1533-position model. The record is from RNAcentral.
GAUGAACGCUGGCGGCGUGCCUAAUACAUGCAAGUCGAGCGAACAGAUGAGGAGCUUGCUCCUCUGACGUUAGCGGCGGACGGGUGAGUAACACGUGGAUAACCUACCUAUAAGACUGGGAUAACUUCGGGAAACCGGAGCUAAUACCGGAUAAUAUAUUGAACCGCAUGGUUCAAUAGUGAAAGACGGCUUUGCUGUCACUUAUAGAUGGAUCCGCGCCGCAUUAGCUAGUUGGUAAGGUAACGGCUUACCAAGGCAACGAUGCGUACCCGCCCUGAGGGGGGGUACGCCACACCGGAACUUGGACCCCGGCCCAGGCCCCAAGGGAGGGCCCCGGGGGGAAUUCUUCCGAAUGGGGGGAAACCUUGCCGAGCCACCGCCCGGGGGGUAAGAAGGGUCUUGGGUUCGAAAGACCUUUUUUUGGGGGAAAAAAGAAUUUGGAUGUAACUAUGCCGUUUUGACGGUAACCAAAUAAGAAGCCCCGGCUAACCUCGUG